GAUGAACGCUGGCGGUACGUCUGACACAUGCAAGUCGAACGGUAAGCCACCUUCGGGUGGCCUAGAGUGGCGAACGGCUGAGUAACACGUAGGAACCUACCCCUCAGUUCGGGAUAACGGGACGAAAGCCCCGCUAACACCGGAUAAUAUCGAAAGAUUGAAAGGUUACGCUGAGGGAGGGCCUGCGGGCUAUUAGCUUGUUGGUGGGGUAAUGGCUCACCAAGGCGAUGAUGGCUAGCNGGUCUGAGAGGAUGAUCAGCCAGACUGGGACUGAGACACGGCCCAGACUCCUACGGGAGGCAGCAGUUCAGAAUCUUGCACAAUGGGCGAAAGCCUGAUGCAGCGAUACCGCGUGGGUGAAGAAGGCCUU
Molecule: ribosomal RNA, 370 nt
Filed under: uncultured bacterium
Lineage: Bacteria
Description: bacterial SSU rRNA
Rfam family: Bacterial small subunit ribosomal RNA
Source: RNAcentral